Molecule: long non-coding RNA, 1680 nt
Organism: Papio anubis (olive baboon)
Lineage: Eukaryota; Metazoa; Chordata; Mammalia; Primates; Cercopithecidae
Source: Ensembl
AUGGGGUCUCUCUCUGUUACCCAGGCUGGUCUUGAACUCCUGGCCUCAAGCAAUCCUCCCACCUUGGCCUCCCAAGGUGCUGGAAUUACAGGCGUGGGCCACCGCACCCGGCCUCCAGCCCCACUUCUCACCCUCAGAGCCAGGCACGGAGCCUCCUGUGAACCUGGGCUCGACUACAUUCCCACAUCUCUCUCCUGGACUCGGACAGCACCUCAGCAGGAAGGACCACCAAAAAUCCUCAUGUUUCCCCCAGAUCAACGCUUCCUGAUCCUUCUAUGCCAGAAACUAAUUAAGAGUCCCUGUGGACACUGUCAAUGUCCCACCAGCCACUCCCCACUGGCCCCUCUUUCCCUCCUACUGCAAAGAUCCUGGCCCAGACCCCGGAUGCGCCCUGCCUCUCUUCCCCCUCCCCUCCCCGACUCCUCUCUUUCCCCUUGCCCACCUCAUCCCAUUGCCCUGCACACCAGUGAGGCUGGGUCUGCUCUGCAGAGACCUCCAUUGACACAGGCACUGUCUGAGGGGCACCCGGCGGGUGGAAAGAGAGAAACCAUCUUGCACCUUCACCUGGCCUCUAAAUGCUGCUGCUGGCCUCCCUCCAACCCUCAGCCUCACCUCUCUCGCCCAGCUCUGCAGUCGCCUGCUCCACCCAGGCCAGCCUGCUCCUGGCGCCUGGGCAGUCUGGGCGGGAGUCUCUGCCUCUCCCUAUCAAAGCCCCUCCACCAAGGCCAGUUCAAGGGCUGCCUCUCAGACUGCAGAGGCGUUACCGAUCCCCCACAUAGAGUGGCCAGUGGGUCCCAUCCUGUGUGUUCCCAGGGUACAGAAUUGGGAGAAGGAAGAGGGGCUCCUGCAUCCAGGCUCCCGGCUAUACCUGUCCCACACUCUGUGUGGCAGCCCUGCAGUUCCUGCCUGUCACCUUCACAGGGGGCGCCUCCCCAGGCUGCCGGAGGGUUGGAGGGAGACCUGGGGAGAGAGGCAGCCCUCAGCACCUGCUCUGCUCUCUCCCUGCCCUCACUCCUGCCUUCUUCAUCCUUCAUCACCUGUCCACCAUCUUCCCCCUACCGCCCCCUCAGGGCUAGCCUGGCUCCUUGCCUCCCUGGCCCCCACCAUUCCUUCUCACACUGCCGCCCACCCGCUGUCACACACCUGAACCUGGCCCUCACUCCAGAGCCACAGGAGCGGUCGCAGGGAGCCCAGGAGGACCAGGCUGACCAGCCGCAGGGCAGGGGGCAGCCCCCUGGUUGGCACAGCAACUCCCCCUUCUCACACACACUGCAGGGGAGGGAGAGGCUGAGGAACUGGUCAGGGCUGGGGAGACCCCGGCACAGUGCCCUCCCUGGCGCGGCCGCCCUCACCAUUGGCUGCAGUUGGCCAGGACGAAGGACACCCCCGGCCACUUCAGCUCUUCGCCCACCAGGCAGGGGCACUCAGAGAGGGGCAGGCAGCGAGUGUCAUGCAGAAGGAGUCCCGGGGGACAGCGGCAUCCUGGGUGUGUGUGGAAGAGGGCACUCAGCCCCAAGGGGCACAGCAGUGAGGGGAAGCUGGAGACUGGGGGCUGGUGGGCCUGGGUGGGCACCCCACAGUCUCCCUGCAGGCCAGGUCUGCCUCACCUUCCACGCAAUGCCCACUGCAGCUUCUGUUAGCCUUGGGAUCCAGGCAGGAGGGUGGGCACGGGGACACUAG